UAGGGAAUCUUCCACAAUGGCCGCAAGCCUGAUGGAGCAACACCGCGUGAGUGAAGAAGGGUUUCGGCUCGUAAAACUCUGUUGUUGAAGAAGAACGUGCGUGAGAGUAACUGUUCAUGCAGUGACGGUAUUCAACCAGAAAGUCACGGCUAACUACGUG
This 160-nucleotide ribosomal RNA is filed under the name uncultured bacterium. RNAcentral's name for it is "partial 16S ribosomal RNA". It matches the Rfam family "Bacterial small subunit ribosomal RNA", at positions 355 to 507 of the family's 1533-position model. The record is from RNAcentral.